This 253-nucleotide ribosomal RNA is filed under the name uncultured bacterium. RNAcentral describes it as "partial 16S ribosomal RNA". It matches the Rfam family "Bacterial small subunit ribosomal RNA", at positions 524 to 776 of the family's 1533-position model. The record is from RNAcentral.
UACGUAGGGUGCGAGCGUUACUCGGAAUUACUGGGCGUAAAGAGCUCGUAGGCGGUUUGUCGCGUCUGCUGUGAAAACUCGGGGCUUAACUCCGGGCCUGCAGUGGGUACGGGCAGACUAGAGUGCGGUAGGGGAGACUGGAAUUCCUGGUGUAGCGGUGAAAUGCGCAGAUAUCAGGAAGAACACCCGUGGCGAAGGCGGCUCUCUGGUACGUGACUGACGCUGAGACGCGAAAGCGUGGGGAGCAAACAGG